Molecule: long non-coding RNA, 974 nt
Organism: Camellia sinensis
Lineage: Eukaryota; Viridiplantae; Streptophyta; Magnoliopsida; Ericales; Theaceae
Source: RefSeq, a predicted model, not a curated record
UGCAAGAGAAUGUAAUGUUUCUCGAAAACACACUGACCUAAACUUCACCCCUGUCUAAGCAAACCACCAGUUUCUCUCUCUUACCUCUCUCUCUCCUAUUUCUCCCCCCUCUCUCACCUACCAUGAGAGACACACCCCACUUCUUCUCCAAAUGGGUUGGUUUCAGUCCCUCUUCUCUCCAUUGAAGAAGCUAUGGGUUAAACUACACUCAGCUCAAAAGAAGAGAAGAGGGAUAUACAUUCUAUAUGAGGAUGUGAAGUCAUGCCCCUGUGAAGAUGUGCAGGUGAUGUGGUCAAUACUUGUGGAGUUGCAAGCACCUUCUUUGCCAUCAACAAAAUGAAUGAAGAAAAAGGCAUACACAUACAUACAUACAUACACACACACAAACAUCACCACAAAACAUAUGAGAGAUAUUCAGUAUGUACACAUCACAAGUCAUGUCAUGUUUAAGUUUUUUGGUUGGUUUUUCCCUUUUGCUUUUUGCAAGUAUAUAUUUUAAGUUAUGUAUUUCUAAUUUACUCAAAUAUUGUCUGCUCUUUCCAAAAAAAAAAAAACCUCAAAAUAUGAAUCCUAGAAGGAAUGAAGUAGAUUCCGGGCUGGGGUGGGGUGGGGGUGAGAGUGGGAAAAGGCUUCUUAUCGUGAGGCCACAUUCUCUGUCCGGAUUCUCUUGAUCCCUCUGUUUCAAGCCACUUUUCUACAACACAACAAGUCUCUAUGACAUGAUUAUGACAAGAUUGUGCAGUGGAGAAGAACCUUGAAGCUGAGGGAGGGGGGAGAUCCAGACAGAUGAUCUGCUGCCUACUAUUGUAAUAUUUUUUUAAAGAACCAAUAGUAGAUUGUGUUAGGCAGUUCCAUUCUAUUUGGCUUCUUCUUGUUGCUUUGUCUGUUUCUAGCAGUUGAGGUGGCAAAGAGAUAGAGAGGAGGUUGACUUGUGAAAACUAUAGAAUGGAUGGGACAGCAUGAUUUUCAUGUCA